RNAcentral lists this ribosomal RNA (544 nucleotides) under Chaenogobius gulosus. RNAcentral's name for it is "partial 12S rRNA". It matches the Rfam family "Bacterial small subunit ribosomal RNA", at positions 196 to 991 of the family's 1533-position model. Lineage: Eukaryota; Metazoa; Chordata; Actinopteri; Gobiiformes; Gobiidae. The record is from RNAcentral.
AACCCUGUGAGAAUGCCCUACAUAUUCCCCAUCGGAAAAAAGGAGCAGACAUUAGGCACAACUCAAUGUUAGCCCACGACGUCUUGCUUAGCCACACCCCCAAGGGAACUCAGCAGUAAUAAACAUUAAGCAAUAAGUGAAAACUUGACUUAGUUAAAACCAAGAGGGCCGGUAAAACUCGUGCCAGCCACCGCGGUUAUACGAGAGGCCCAAGUUGAUAAAUGCCGGCGUAAAAUGUGGUUAAUAUAAUGUUUCACUAAAGCCAAACAUCUUCAGAGCUGUCAUACCCACAUGAAGACAGGAAGCCCUUCUACGAAAGUGGCUUUAAAUAGUAUUAUCCACGAAAGCUAGGAUACAAACUGGGAUUAGAUACCCCACUAUGCCUAGCCUUAAACACAAGUGAACUAUUACACCUUUCGCUUGCCAGGGAACUACGAGCCCCAGCUUAAAACCCAAAGGACUUGGCGGUGCUUUAGACCCCCCUAGAGGAGCCUGUUCUAGAACCGAUAAUCCCCGUUAAACCUCACCUUCUCUUGUUAAUUCC